AAUCUCGUGGUGAAGUUCAUGUCAAAUUGCAAAUUUGAAGAUAUA
RNAcentral lists this transfer RNA (45 nucleotides) under Chelonoidis duncanensis (Duncan Island giant tortoise). RNAcentral describes it as "partial tRNA-Cys". Lineage: Eukaryota; Metazoa; Chordata; Testudines; Testudinidae. The record is from RNAcentral.